CGACCACCAGUCAACUCGGUUUAUUCUGCCACCUAUAGAAAUAGCCUAGCAGUGAACUCGAGGGGAAGAUACAGGCAAAACCAAAAAGAACUGUGAAUGUUUGCCUCUGGGCCACCUGCAGUGAUCUCGCACCCUUUGGAGACUGCCCCUCCGAGCCCUGGGAAACACUCCACCCUUCUGGACACAUGUGAGAUGCAGCCUGCCCUUGGGCAGCAGCGUGUGAAGCCGUUCUGCGGUCCUUCUGGCUCAGCUGUUCUUCACGUGUCCUGUGAGCGGAAGUAACAUGUCACAUCUGAGCUGAGGUGGGGCAGGGGCUCUCCGAAGACAUUUUUCUUUCUUGUGUUCUUUCUUUAGCAGAAGAGGAGCACUUAACACUGAAAUGGGGGGCAGCCUCUGAAGAAGACUGAAGCAUUUUGGGUCACUGAACAACCACCCCAGGAAUAGCGUCUCAUAAAGUUUCCCAGAGCCUUACAAACUUUACAUGAGCCCGAACCACAGGGGUUCUGUUAAGCCACUUGGGUGGCUUGUUUGUUUGUUUUUGUUUGCUUGCUUUCCUUAACUUGCCUGGGGACUCACACUCUUAGACAGACAUAGAAUGUUCCAAAGUCACUGAUGCUGUGACUUUCUGUCCACCACGGAAGGACUCCUUCCAGCGGGAGUCGGUGACGCUGCCAAGGUGAGACAUGGGCACUGGGGACUAGGGGCCGAAGACAGACACGGCCUUAGCCUUUCCAAGUGAGCACUACACACAAAAAGGUAUCUCAUGAAUAUUAUUUUUAAGCAAACACCAUAGGACUUUAGCAUGUUAUGGUUAGAACCAUUCACAAACCAAAGUAUCAAAAUAGCAACAACGCUGAAUCUUUUUUAGAGCCAAAGAUAAAAUUUCUCUAUGGUAGCCGUGGAAUUUCAGCCCCUCUAAUCCGUCCUCUCCUACUGCGAGCCCUGCUAUUCCAGGGAUGUCCAGUCCGGAGCUGCUCAAGUGCCCCGUGCAGCUGCUGCAGCAGUGCUGCUGCCGAUCCUUGCAUGAGCAUCCAGUCCACAUGCUCAGGUGCCUGAUAAGAAAGCGAAGCCUUUGACCGAGACACUGGCUUUAAUGGACUUUAAUCAGAGAGCGAUUACGCUCCUCAUCCUCUUCCGGUGAUAAAAUGGAAUUAGUGUGCGUGUCUCUAAUUCUGCAAAUUCUUUAAUCUUCAGGUCCUGGACUGUUUCAUUGUACUCUUCUUUAUGGGGUAUAGAGAAUUCCUAAAAAUGGCAGCAUUCCAAACUUAAAAACAUCUAAAAGGCACUUCCAUAAUAUAUUGAGACUUAGUGGCUUAUAUGACUGUUAAAAGAGUGUAAGUUGUUGGGGGUGAUUGUCUUCCAGUUCAGUUGCUAGUUGUUUAGUUUUGAGAAAGGAAGCAAUGAAGGAAGUUAAGGAAGCAAGGAAAGGAAAGGGAGGGAUGAAGGAAGAGAUAAUUCCAUUAAUUACUUUAUGAACUUAUUUUCAGUCUUGAAGCUUUCACUUUCCUAUAAUCUCCAUUCUACUUCCACUGCAGGCACUAGGGGUUUCCCCGGUAAAUUCGUAUUGAGAGUACAAGGCACUCUAGGUCCUUAGAGGGUGAAACAGUUCCCUGCCAGGAAUCAGUUGGGUCACUGCUUCGGUUACCCACUGAGUCCUGACGGGGUGCAAAUGGCCCGUGUGUGCAGAGCCCAUCCUGGAAGGUGAAGAGGAAGGGACAGACAAAGCCAAGGCAAUUACCGCUGCUCAGCUGGACGGAAACCAAGCACCAGGCAGGUGUUUGCUUAGGUUUCUGUGCCUCUGAUUGCUGUGCAGUUGGCAAACACAUGUGAAAUGCUACACAUCGCUCGCCCACCAUCACCCCUUUCCUGUUAUAUGGAAACAAACACGAACUUUACAGUUGCGAAGAACGCAAUAGAAAAUCAGAAUAUUUAAGAUAAGUCAUAUUUUGGCUUUGAAAGUGAAUUUUCAAAGACUUAAAAGGCUCAUAACGACCCAGGAAACAACCCGGCAGACACCCUCUUCCUCGGCCUUCCCUCCUCCUCCACCCUCCCAGCAGCCCUCCACCGCAGAGAAAGCACGAGGUCUGGACACAGAAAGUGAGGCUGAGCCCAGUGCUGAGAUCCUGGAGAUGAAGCAGGACAGCUGGACUCACCAUUUCAUGUCACUUUUUUCUUAGCUUAUUAAAAUGUGCACAGACGAUUUGUCUGAAUUAUAAUACAUGAGCCAGAUUUUACACAAGGGAGGACUCCGGGGGUAGCGUUUUUGCUUGACUCUGCUGUUCUGUUGAGACUGCUUCUGAGGGGCACUGUGAGGGCUGUCCUGCCUCAGCAGGGCGCUGGACCUGAGGCCAGUGCAUAACACGAGCCCCAUGUGGAGGCCGGCACUGGUACUACAUGUCCACUGUUCAGGCAGCUGCAGUUGCAAAACUAUUUGUGUUCACAAUUUGUUUCCAGUGAGCGAGGAGAUGAAGGCUGGGCCAGCUCUGGGCAGUGCAAAUGUUCAAACGCAGCCACUUUUCAUGCUGAACAGCUUGGGUCCUGCUGCUUGGAGGAAGGGUUUAGUAUUUUCAUAGAUUAUUUAAAAUCUACGACAUUAAAAUCUUGGUCCUGGAUAUACUUACCAAAUCCUUUAAAAUUUUGAAAAGAUGGCCAUAAAUGUUCAGAAACAGAAAUGACAAAUAUGAAAAUAUAUCUUGUAAAGAUGUGUUGAUUAGAAUUUAAUAAAACCACUUGAAAAUUCGAUAGUCUGCUUUUAAUCAGGCUGGAUUCCUAACGCCGAUCUCAUAAGCAAAGCAUCUCUCACAUGACUAAUACCAUGGGACAAUGAUAUAAUUGUUACAUACCUUUUUAUAUAACCGUGUUUAUAAUAGGAAAUAAAUAAUGCAAAACUAUGAAGAGAACUUAUCAAGUAGUCUAGUGCCAACCUCACCCCACCUGCUUGCCAAAUGAUAAAAACAAAAUAAGACAGUAUCUUUCUCGGAGAUCUAAACAGAAAGAAUAUUUUCAGCCUAGAGUUUUACUCUGUAUUACAAAAGGCUAAGAAUCACGAUGGUUGCUGAGAUACUAUCAUGGAUGUACAUAGAACUAUGUAAAAGAUUAACUAUGGGGAUUUCAGUACAUUGUUUGAUGAUCGGAAUGUAGAUCACUUGUGAAUGUAAA
Molecule: long non-coding RNA, 3159 nt
Filed under: Cavia porcellus (domestic guinea pig)
Lineage: Eukaryota; Metazoa; Chordata; Mammalia; Rodentia; Caviidae
Description: lncRNA (ENSCPOG00000038718.1)
Source: RNAcentral